ACACGCUGGAGUGUGGCGGGCUGACGGGUCUGAGACCUGAAGGACCCGGGAACCGCAAAGCACGGUGUGCCUCCGUUGUCCUGAAGAAAAAGCCGCGCGCAGACGACUGGCCGGCCCGCGCUCGCAGCUCCCAGACGUUGACAGGCAUCCUCGGGUGACCGGGUUGGCUGCUCCUUUGCUUUCAAAUAAGAUUUCUUCUCAGAAAGUCUACAUGUACUGAAUAAAAUCUGCAGUUUAUACAAUAUCACAUGACUUCAGAGUAAAUCCUAACUUUGUCAAAGCCUCGCUGAAUUUCCCACAAUAGAUAAAGACCCAGCUUUCCCUAGGAGCUAAAGGGAGAAAAAAAUCCCAACCUAGUGUGCAGGGUGUAACCAGUUGACACAGAACUGUGUAUUUGAAAACAAAAUAGAUUUCAAAACCUAAGGGGAGGCAAAUGAUUUGAGUAGAUUUUCUCCCAAGCAGACUUACAAAUGCCAAGAAGCACGAGGGAAAAAAAACCUUAGCAUCAUUAGUCAUUAGGGAAAUGCAAAACAAACCUACAAUGAGAUAUCAUUUCACAUCCACUUGGAUGGCUGUAAUCAGAAAGUCAAAUAAUAACAAGUGUUGACAAGGAUAUGGAGAAACUGGAACCCUCAAAGAUUGCUGACGAGGAUAUAAAAUUAUGUAGUCACUUUAGAAAACAGUUUAACUGUUCCAUAAUAAGUUAAACAUGGAACUGUAUGAUCCAGCAGUUCCUCUCCCAGGCAUAGACUCAAGACAAAUAGAAACAUACAUCCACACAAAAAUGUAUAUAUGAAUAUUUAUAGCAGUAUUAUUCAUAAUUGCCAAAAAGUGGCUACAACCCAAGUGUCCAUCAACUGAUUAAUGUAUAAAUGUUAUAUAUCCAUACAGUGGAAUGUUUGGCCAUAAAAUGAAAAUGGAGUACCAAUACAUGCCAUGAUAUGUAUGAACCACAAAAACAUACCAAGACCACAUAUUGGAUGGUUUCAUUUAUAUGAAAUGUCCAAAGUAAUUAAAUCCAUAGAGACAGAAAGUAGGUUAGUGGUUGCCUAUGGCUGGGAAGGUGGGUAGAGUUAAAAGAGAAGUGGCUGCUAAUGGGUACAAGGUUUAUUUAGGAUAGAGGAGGAUGAAAAUGUUCUAAAAUUGAUUUUAGUGAUAGUUGAAAAACUCUGAAUAUGUUAAAAAUCAUUGAAUUGUACACUUUAAAUAGGCACAUUGUAUAGAAUAUGGAUUAUCUACCAAUAAACCUGUUUUUAAAUUAGUCAGGAAGAGCUACUCAAGGAGAUCAAAGGUCCUGGUGUUGGACAGACAUCUACCAAUAGCUCUUCCCUCCUCAUGUAGAGUGGAAGAUGUAACUGUCCAGAAUAGACGCAUUUCCCAGCCUCUCUUGCAGCUUGGUAUGACUUUGCAAGUAAUUCUCAACAGUGGAAUGCAAGCGUAGGUAAUGUGUUUAAGUUCCAAGCGUCCUUAAUAAUGAGAUACCAGCCACAUAUUGAAGACAACGGAGCAAUAAAAUAGGCAGAGCUUGGGUCUCUACUGCUUGUGAAACUGCUGUAUCAGUCCUGGACUGGUUUCCUGAGGGACAAAUAAACUUCUAACUUG
Molecule: long non-coding RNA, 1602 nt
Organism: Macaca mulatta (Rhesus monkey)
Lineage: Eukaryota; Metazoa; Chordata; Mammalia; Primates; Cercopithecidae
Source: Ensembl